UUAGAACGCUGGCGGCAUGCCUUACACAUGCAAGUCGAACGGCAGCACGGGAGCAAUCCUGGUGGCGAGUGGCGGAACGGGUGAGUAAUAUAUCGGAACGUGCCCUGGAGGUGGGGAUAACGCAGCGAAAGUUGCGCUAAUACCGCAUACGAUCUAAGGAUGAAAGCAGGGGACCGCAAGGCCUUGUGCUCCUGGAGCGGCCGAUAUCUGAUUAGCUAGUUGGUGGGGUAAAGGCCUACCAAGGCAUCGAUCAGUAGCUGGUCUGAGAGGACGACCAGCCACACUGGAACUGAGACACGGUCCAGACUCCUACGGGAGGCAGCAGUGGGGAAUUUUGGACAAUGGGCGCAAGCCUGAUCCAGCAAUGCCGCGUGCAGGAUGAAGGCCUUCGGGUUGUAAACUGCUUUUGUACGGAACGAAACGGUGAGCUCUAAUACAGUUUGCUAAUGACGGUACCGUAAGAAUAAGCACCGGCUAACUACGUG
Molecule: ribosomal RNA, 485 nt
Filed under: uncultured bacterium
Lineage: Bacteria
Description: bacterial SSU rRNA
Rfam family: Bacterial small subunit ribosomal RNA
Source: RNAcentral